CCAGACUCCUACGGGAGGCAGCAGUGGGGAAUCUUCCGCAAUGGGCGCAAGCCUGACGGAGCAACGCCGCGUGAGUGAAGAAGGUCUUCGGAUCGUAAAGCUCUGUUGAUGGGGACGAACGUGCCUAAUGCGAAUAGUUUUAGGCAAUGACGGUACCCAUCGAGGAAGCCACGGCUAACUACGUGCCAGCAGCCGCGGUAAUACGUAGGUGGCGAGCGUUGUCCGGAAUCAUUGGGCGUAAAGGGAGCGCAGGCGGGCAUGUAAGUCUUUCUUAAAAGUGCGGGGCUCAACCCCGUGAUGGGAAAGAAACUAUGUGUCUUGAGUACAGGAGAGGAAAGCGGAAUUCCCAGUGUAGCGGUGAAAUGCGUAGAUAUUGGGAGGAACACCAGUGGCGAAGGCGGCUUUCUGGACUGCAACUGACGCUGAGGCUCGAAAGCCAGGGGAGCGAACGGGAUUAGAUACCCCGGUAGUCCACACCGUAAACGAUGGAUACUAGGAGUUGGCAAAAAUAUUGUCGGUUCCGCAGUUAACGCAUUAAGUAUCCCACCUGGGGAGUACGACCGCAAGGUUAAAACUCAAAGGAAUUGACGGGGCCCGCACAAG
RNAcentral lists this ribosomal RNA (603 nucleotides) under uncultured bacterium. RNAcentral describes it as "bacterial SSU rRNA". It matches the Rfam family "Bacterial small subunit ribosomal RNA", at positions 331 to 929 of the family's 1533-position model. The record is from RNAcentral.